CCUACGGGUGGCAGCAGUGAGGAAUAUUGGUCAAUGGGCGCGAGCCUGAACCAGCCAAGUCGCGUGAGGGAAGACGGUCCUAUGGAUUGUAAACCUCUUUUGUCGGGGAGCAAAAGACGCCACGCGUGGCGUUCCGAGAGUACCCGAAGAAAAAGCAUCGGCUAACUCCGCGCCAGCAGCCGCGGUAAUACGGAGGAUGCGAGCGUUAUCCGGAUUUAUGGGGUUAAAAGGGUGCGCAGGCGGAAGAUCAAGUCAGCGGUAAAAUUGAGAGGCUCAACCUCUUCGAGCCGUUGAAACUGGUUUUCUUGAGUGAGUGAGAGGUAUGCGGAAUGCGUGGUGUAGCGGUGAAAUGCAUAGAUAUCACGCAGAACUCCGAUUGCGAAGGCAGCAUACCGGCGCUCAACUGACGCUCAUGCACGAAAGUGUGGGUAUCGAACAGGAUUAGAUACCCGAGUAGUC
This 459-nucleotide ribosomal RNA is filed under the name uncultured bacterium. RNAcentral's name for it is "partial 16S ribosomal RNA". It matches the Rfam family "Bacterial small subunit ribosomal RNA", at positions 338 to 795 of the family's 1533-position model. The record is from RNAcentral.